AUUAUGUUUAUGUGUGUAUGUAAGAAAAGCAGUGUGUGUCUGCAUGUGUGUGUAAGGGUUUGCAUUGUGUGUUUCUGUGUAUGUGUGCAAAGGAUGCAAUGUCUUUGUGUGUAAGGGUUGCAUUGUGUGUGUGUGUGUAAUGGAUGCAUUGUGUGUUUCUCUGUGUGUAAGGGAAGCAUGUUGUGUUUCUGUUUAUGUAUAGGGAUGCAUUGUGUGUGUGUGCGCCCCCUGUCCUUUAGAGCUGUC
Pelobates cultripes (western spadefoot toad) is the source of this 246-nucleotide non-coding RNA. The record is from the annotation of a GenBank genome assembly. Lineage: Eukaryota; Metazoa; Chordata; Amphibia; Anura; Pelobatidae.